Molecule: ribosomal RNA, 692 nt
Filed under: Acinetobacter calcoaceticus
Lineage: Bacteria; Pseudomonadati; Pseudomonadota; Gammaproteobacteria; Moraxellales; Moraxellaceae
Description: bacterial SSU rRNA
Rfam family: Bacterial small subunit ribosomal RNA
Source: RNAcentral
UGCAGUCGAGCGGGGAAGGAGAUUGGCCUGCAUUCCUACCAGCGGACGACUGAGAAUGCUGACGAAUCUGCCUAUUAAUGGAGGACGACGUUCCCUGGGGGACGCUACUACCGCCUACUUCCUACGCGAGACCGCAGGGGAUCAUCUUCCCUUGUCCUGCUAUCUGAUGCUACCUCAUGUUAUUUACUUGGUGGGGGGGAGGCCUACCACCGCGACGAUCAGCCCCGGGUGUGAGAGGAUGAUCCGCCACCCUGGGACUGCUGCACCGCCCACACUACUCCUGGAGGAGGCAGUGGGGAAUAUUGUUGCAUGUGGCAACCCUGAUCCAGCCAUGCCGCCUGUGGGAAGAAGGCCUUUUGCUUGUUGAGCACUUUUUUCGAGGAGGAGGAUUGCCUGGUUGAUACCUGGGAUAACUGGACGUUACUCGCGCAAUAAAAACCGGCUAACUCUGUGCCCCAGCCGCGGUAAUACACGAGGGGGCAAGCGUUAAUCGGAUUUACUGGGCGUAAAGCGCGCGUAGGUGGCUAAUUAAGUCAAAUGUGAAAUCCCCGAGCUUAACUUGGGAAACUGUUUCAUACUGGUUAGCUUAGUAUCUUGAGAAGAUGGUAGAAUUCCCAGUGUAACGGUGAAAUGCCUAGAGAUCUGGAAGAAUACCGAUGGCGAAAGCAGCCCUCUGGCCUAAUACUUGAACU